This 367-nucleotide ribosomal RNA is filed under the name Ochrosphaera verrucosa. RNAcentral describes it as "SSU rRNA". It matches the Rfam family "Eukaryotic small subunit ribosomal RNA", at positions 477 to 853 of the family's 1831-position model. The record is from RNAcentral. Lineage: Eukaryota; Haptophyta; Coccolithales; Hymenomonadaceae.
CAAUACAGGGCCAUCUUGGUCUUGUAAUUGGAAUGAGUACAAUUUACAUCUCUUCACGAGGAUCAAUUGGAGGGCAAGUCUGGUGCCAGCAGCCGCGGUAAUUCCAGCUCCAAUAGCGUAUAUUAAAGUUGUUGCAGUUAAAACGCUCGUAGUCGGAUUUCGGGGCGGGCCUGCCGGUCUGCCGAUCGGUACGCACUGGCGGGCGCGUCCUUCCUUCCGGAGACCGCGCCUCCUCUUAACUGAGCGGGCGUGGGAGACGGAUCGUUUACUUUGAAAAAAUCAGAGUGUUUCAAGCAGGCAGCUCGCUCUUGCAUGGAUUAGCAUGGGAUAAUGAAAUAGGACUCUGGUGCUAUUUUGUUGGUUUCGA